UUUUAGAAACCUGAAUAGGAAUCGGUUUCGACCCGAAAACAAGUAAUUAAAUUUAUUUCUAGAAU
Molecule: transfer RNA, 65 nt
Filed under: Bipalium kewense
Lineage: Eukaryota; Metazoa; Platyhelminthes; Tricladida; Geoplanidae
Description: tRNA-Arg
Source: RNAcentral